CGGGUGCACUGAUCCAGCCGGGCCUUUCCCUCUGUGGAACCCCAUGGCCUUCACUGGCUGUGGUGGGGAAACAGGACUUUUACUUUGAAAAAAUUAGAGUGCUCCAGGCAGGCCUAUGCUCGAAUACAUUAGCAUGGAAUAAUAGAAUAGGACGUGUGGUUCUAUUUUGUUGGUUUCUAGGACCGCCGUAAUGAUUAAUAGGGACAGUCGGGGGCAUCAGUAUUCAAUUGUCAGAGGUGAAAUUCUUGGAUCUAUUGAAGACUAACUACUGCGAAAGCAUUUGCCAAGGAUGUUUUCAUUGAUAAGGAACGAAAGUUAGGGGAUCGAAGACGAUCAGAUACCGUCGUAGUCUUAACUAUAAACUAUGCCGACUAGGGAUCGGACGAUGUUAUUCUUUGACGCGUUCGGCACCUUUCGAGAAAUCAAAGUGCUUGGGCUCCAGGGGGAGUAUGGUCGCAAGGCUGAAACUUAAAGAAAUUGACGGAAGGGCACCACCAGGGGUGGAACCUGCGGCUUAAUUUGACUCAACACGGGGAAACUCACCAGGUCCAGACACAGUGAGGAUUGACAGAUUGAGAGCUCUUUCUUGAUUCUGUGGGUGGUGGUGCAUGGGCCGUUCUUAGUUGGUGGAGUGAUUUGUCUGCUUAAUUGCGAUAACGAACGAGACCUUUAACCUGCUAAAUAGCCCGUACUGCUUUGGCAGUUCGCCGGCUUCUUAGAGGGACUAUCGG
This 731-nucleotide ribosomal RNA is filed under the name uncultured eukaryote. RNAcentral's name for it is "SSU rRNA". It matches the Rfam family "Eukaryotic small subunit ribosomal RNA", at positions 670 to 1426 of the family's 1831-position model. The record is from RNAcentral.